RNAcentral lists this ribosomal RNA (1347 nucleotides) under Oreolalax lichuanensis (Lichuan lazy toad). RNAcentral's name for it is "partial 16S ribosomal RNA". It matches the Rfam family "Bacterial large subunit ribosomal RNA", at positions 391 to 2519 of the family's 2925-position model. Lineage: Eukaryota; Metazoa; Chordata; Amphibia; Anura; Megophryidae. The record is from RNAcentral.
ACAGUUACCCGUCUAGCCUGAACAAAUAUAAAAACUUAAUUCUUGAUACACUCCCAUCCUGUCCUAAAACAUUUUUAAUCUAUAGUAUAUGCGAUAAAAAAAGAAUCCAGAGCUACAACAACAGUACCGCAAGGGAAUGAUGAAAUAAUAAUGAAACAUUUUUUACACUAAACAAAGCAGAGCUUACAUCUUGUACCUUUUGCAUCAUGGCCUAACAAGUCUAAUUCAGGCAAAAAGAAUUCUAGUCUGACCCCCCGAAACUAAGUGAGCUACUCCAAGGCAACCCCUAGAGUAAACCCGUCUCUGUGGCAAAAGAGUGGGAAGACCUUCGAGUAGAGGCGACAAACCUAUCGAACUUAGUGAUAGCUGGUUGCUCAGGAAAAGAAUCUUAGUUCUCCCUUAAGAAUUAACUAGCGUAAUUUAAGCAAACCAAAUUCCUAAGAGCUAUUCAAUAAGGGUACAGCCUUAUUGAAAAAGGAUACAACCUCCACUUCAGGUUAAUGAUUAAAUUUAUAAGAGGAUUAAAGUGAAGUCGGCCUAAAAGCAGCCAUCUUACUAAAAGCGUCAAAGCUUUACCUUGUUUUUACCACUUAUACGAUUAUUUUAUCAAAACCCGAUAACACUACUGAGCUGUUUUAUAUCUGUAUAAAAGCAUUUAUGUUAGGACUAGUAACACAGAAUUAUUUCUCUUACAUGUAAGCAUACAUCAGAUUGAAUACCUCACUGAUUUUUAUACAGUUUUGAAUACAAAGUAAUACCCCCCCCCGAAAACUUUACUCACUCAACUGUUAACCUAACACAAGAACAUGAAAGAAAGAUUAAAAGAAUGGGAAGGAACUCGGCAAAUAUUAGUCCCGCCUGUUUACCAAAAACAUCGCCUUUUGAACAUUAUAAAAGGUAACGCCUGCCCAGUGACAAUUUGUUUAACGGCCGCGGUAUUCUGACCGUGCGAAGGUAGCGUAAUCACUUGUCUUUUAAAUAGAGACUAGUAUGAACGGCAUCACGAGGACUUAACUGUCUCCCCCCUCCAAUCAGUGAAACUGAUCUCCACGUACAAAAGCGGGGAUAAUUUCAUAAGACGAGAAGACCCUAUGGAGCUUUAAACCAAAGCCCACUUGUUUAACCUGCUAUAUUAAUUUAGUACUAAAAUAACAAGCCUGAUUCAGGUUUUCAGUUGGGGUGACUGUGGAGAAAAACAAAUCCUCCAUGAAGAUUAAUGCUUUGAACAACCGUUCUAAGCAUUAGCAAGCCUAACUUUACUUGAUCCAAUAUUUUGAUCAACGGACCAAGUUACCCUAGGGAUAACAGCGCAAUCCACUUCAAGAGUCCAUAUCGACAAGUGGGUUU